RNAcentral lists this ribosomal RNA (486 nucleotides) under uncultured bacterium. Its description in RNAcentral is "partial 16S ribosomal RNA". It matches the Rfam family "Bacterial small subunit ribosomal RNA", at positions 30 to 507 of the family's 1533-position model. The record is from RNAcentral.
AUUGAACGCUGGCGGCAUGCCUUACACAUGCAAGUCGAACGGCAGCACGGGUUCUUGCACCUGGUGGCGAGUGGCGAACGGGUGAGUAAUACAUCGGAACAUGUCCUGUAGUGGGGGAUAGCCCGGCUAAAGCCGGAUUAAUACCGCAUACGAUCUACGGAUGAAAGCGGGGGCCCUUCGGGCCUCGCGCUAUAGGGUUGGCCGAUGGCUGAUUAGCUAGUUGGUGGGGUAAAGGCCUACCAAGGCGACGAUCAGUAGAUGGUCUGAGAGGACGACCAGCCACACUGGGACUGAGACACGGCCCAGACUCCUACGGGAGGCAGCAGUGGGGAAUUUUGGACAAUGGGCGAAAGCCUGAUCCAGCAAUGCCGCGUGUGUGAAGAAGGCCUUCGGGUUGUAAAGCACUUUUGUCCGGAAAGAAAUCCUUGGCUCUAAUACAGUCGGGGGAUGACGGUACCGGAAGAAUAAGCACCGGCUAACUACGUG